Molecule: ribosomal RNA, 253 nt
Filed under: uncultured bacterium
Lineage: Bacteria
Description: partial 16S ribosomal RNA
Rfam family: Bacterial small subunit ribosomal RNA
Source: RNAcentral
UACGUAGGGUGCAAGCGUUGUCCGGAAUUAUUGGGCGUAAAGAGCUUGUAGGCGGUUUGUCGCGUCUGCUGUGAAAUUUCGGGGCCCAACCCCGAACUUGCAGUGGGUACGGGCAGACUAGAGUGUGGUAGGGGAGACUGGAAUUCCUGGUGUAGCGGUGAAAUGCGCAGAUAUCAGGAGGAACACCGAUGGCGAAGGCAGGUCUCUGGGCCACUACUGACGCUGAGAAGCGAAAGCAUGGGGAGCGAACAGG